This 854-nucleotide ribosomal RNA is filed under the name Chondrina cliendentata. RNAcentral describes it as "partial large subunit ribosomal RNA". The stretch from base 330 to 577 matches the Rfam family "Archaeal large subunit ribosomal RNA", at positions 1787 to 2143 of the family's 2987-position model. The record is from RNAcentral. Lineage: Eukaryota; Metazoa; Mollusca; Gastropoda; Stylommatophora; Chondrinidae.
ACCCGAAAUAAAAAGAUCUAAAAACGUUAUAAGGAAUCGUUGUUAAAAUUAAAUAUGUGGCAUAAUAUAAUUGUAAUAACUUUUUAGGGGAGAAAUUCCAACAGUUUUUAUGAUAGCUGGAUUAAGGGGAAAAGUAUUAAGUACUAAAAACAAUUAUAAAGUGAUAAGAUUUUAUAAUUAAAAUAAGAUGUUUUUAAUAGUUGUAGGGUUAAUCCCCUGAAAGCUUGUUAUCUAAUAACAUUUAAUAAAUAUAUCUUUUUAUUUUCUUAUCCUUAUACUUAGAUCAAUCAGAUGUGCUUAGUUUAUAAUGUUUAAAUUAGUAUUUGAUAUUUAUAAUUUUUAUUAAGGAACUCGGCAAAUAUUAUAUUCGACUGUUUAUCAAAAACAUAGUCCGUUGUUAUUUAUAAUGGAUAUUGACUGCCCGGUGAUUUUUAUUUAACGGCCGCAGUACCUUGACUGUGCGAAGGUAGCAUAAUAAUUUGGCCUUUAAAUGGGGUCUAGGAUGAAAGGACUUACGAAUAGUAGCUGUCUCAAACUUUAAUUAAAGAAAACUUAUUUUAAAGGUGCAAAUACCUUUGUAUUUAUAUAAUAGACGAGAAGACCCUUAGAAUUUAAUUUAAAAUAAAGAUAUAUCUUUAUUUCGAUUUUGUUGGGGCAACAAAGCAGCAGCUAUUUAAUCUGCUUCUCCAUUGUAAAAAUAUGCCGACUAUUAGUAAAAGGAUAUAAAUUACCUUAGGGAUAACAGCAUAAUUUAGUAAAGAUUGUGACCUCGAUGUUGGAUUAGGGCCAUAAUAAUUUAACCAAUUAUUUUGUUAGUUCUGUUCGAACUGUAUAACCUACAUGAUCUGAGUUCA